UACGAAGGGGGCUAGCGUUGCUCGGAAUCACUGGGCGUAAAGCGCACGUAGGCGGAUUGCUAAGUCAGGGGUGAAAUCCUGGAGCUCAACUCCAGAACUGCCUUUGAUACUGGGGAUCUCGAGUCCGGGAGAGGUGAGUGGAACUGCGAGUGUAGAGGUGAAAUUCGUAGAUAUUCGCAAGAACACCAGUGGCGAAGGCGGCUCACUGGCCCGGUACUGACGCUGAGGUGCGAAAGCGUGGGGAGCGAACAGG
This 253-nucleotide ribosomal RNA is filed under the name uncultured bacterium. RNAcentral's name for it is "partial 16S ribosomal RNA". It matches the Rfam family "Bacterial small subunit ribosomal RNA", at positions 524 to 776 of the family's 1533-position model. The record is from RNAcentral.